Molecule: ribosomal RNA, 253 nt
Filed under: uncultured bacterium
Lineage: Bacteria
Description: partial 16S ribosomal RNA
Rfam family: Bacterial small subunit ribosomal RNA
Source: RNAcentral
UACGGAGGGUGCAAGCGUUAUCCGGAUUUACUGGGUUUAAAGGGUGCGUAGGCGGGCCAUUAAGUCAGGGGUGAAAGCUCCGAGCUUAACUCGGAAACUGCCAUUGAUACUAUUGGUCUUGAAUUCGGUCGAGGUUGGCGGAAUGUGUCGUGUAGCGGUGAAAUGCUUAGAUAUGACACAGAACACCGAUUGCGAAGGCAGCUAGCUAGACCGACAUUGACGCUGAGGCACGAAAGCGUGGGGAUCAAACAGG